GUCUGAUUCCAAGAUGCCGGAUGCACAGUCUGGUUAUGAAAAGGGCAGCACCCUUGUGAUGGCGGGACUGUCCGGCCUGAACAUGGUCUACGAGGCGG
This 98-nucleotide non-coding RNA is filed under the name marine eukaryotic metagenome. RNAcentral's name for it is "Pyrrolysine insertion sequence mttB". It matches the Rfam family "Pyrrolysine insertion sequence mttB". The record is from RNAcentral.